CCCUUAGAUGUUCUGGGCCGCACGCGCGCUACACUGACUGGUGCAACAAGUGUCGCUCCUUGGCCGAUAGGCCUGGGCAAUCUUUGAACGCCAGUCGUGAUGGGGAUAGAUUCUUGCAAUUUUUGAUCUUCAACGAGGAAUUCCUAGUAAACGCGAGUCAUCAACUCGCAUUGAUUACGUUCCUGCCCUUUGUACACACCGCCCGUCGCACCUACCGAUUGAAUGGUCCGGUGAACCCUCCGGAUCGGCCCGCGCCAACGCAAGUUGAGCAAAGGCCGAGAAGUUGGGUAAACCUUACCAUUUAGAGGAAGGUGAAGUCGUANCA
Molecule: ribosomal RNA, 325 nt
Filed under: uncultured eukaryote
Lineage: Eukaryota
Description: partial 18S ribosomal RNA
Rfam family: Eukaryotic small subunit ribosomal RNA
Source: RNAcentral